RNAcentral lists this non-coding RNA (25 nucleotides) under Mus musculus (house mouse). The record is from RNAcentral. Lineage: Eukaryota; Metazoa; Chordata; Mammalia; Rodentia; Muridae.
GAGUUGCUCUUUUUUCAUGGUGUGU